GGCGCGGUAGCUCAGUGGUAGAGCGGAGGUUUCAUAAGCCUCAUGUCGGCAGUUCGAUCCUGCCCCGCGCCA
RNAcentral lists this transfer RNA (72 nucleotides) under Elusimicrobiota bacterium. RNAcentral's name for it is "Elusimicrobia bacterium (mine drainage metagenome) tRNA-Met". It matches the Rfam family "tRNA". From Rfam's summary of the family: Transfer RNA (tRNA) molecules are approximately 80 nucleotides in length. Their secondary structure includes four short double-helical elements and three loops (D, anti-codon, and T loops). The record is from RNAcentral. Lineage: Bacteria; Pseudomonadati; Elusimicrobiota.